Molecule: microRNA, 22 nt
Filed under: Limulus polyphemus (Atlantic horseshoe crab)
Lineage: Eukaryota; Metazoa; Arthropoda; Merostomata; Xiphosura; Limulidae
Also listed under: 1 other name
Description: Lpo-Mir-10-P1m-v1_3p* (star (passenger))
Source: RNAcentral
CAAAUUCGGUUCUAGAGAGGUU